RNAcentral lists this ribosomal RNA (433 nucleotides) under uncultured bacterium. RNAcentral's name for it is "partial 16S ribosomal RNA". It matches the Rfam family "Bacterial small subunit ribosomal RNA", at positions 29 to 507 of the family's 1533-position model. The record is from RNAcentral.
AACGAACGCUGGCGGCAUGCCUAACACAUGCAAGUCGAACGAAACCUUCGGGUCUAGUGGCGCCCGGCUGCGUCACGCGUGGGAACCUGCCCUUAGGUUCGGAAUACCUCCCCGAAAGGGGUGCUAAUACCGGAUAAUGUCUUCUAACCAAUGAUUUAUCGCCUUUGGAUGGGCCCGCGUUGGAUUAGCUAGUUGGUAGGGUAAGAGCCUACUAAGGGGACGAUCCAUAGCUGGUCAGAGAGGAUGGUCAGCCACACUGGGAGUAGGACACGGCCGAGACUCCUACGGGAUGGAGCAAUGGGGGAUAGUGGACAAUGGGCGGAAGCCUGAACCAGCAAGGACGGGAGAGUGAUGAAGGCCUUAGGGUUGAAAAGCGCUUUUACCCGGGAUGAUAAUGACAGUACCGGGAGAAUAAGCCCCGGCUAACUCCGUG